This 968-nucleotide ribosomal RNA is filed under the name uncultured soil bacterium. Its description in RNAcentral is "bacterial SSU rRNA". It matches the Rfam family "Bacterial small subunit ribosomal RNA", at positions 64 to 1019 of the family's 1533-position model. The record is from RNAcentral.
GAGCCAAUUUCAAAAUAUAACCGCUGGAGUUAGCGGCAGACGGGUGAGUAAUACUUAGGCAAUCUACCUUCAAGAGGGAAACAACCGGCCGAAAGGCUGGCUAAUGUCCCAUAAGACCACAGGGAUGCAUAUUCCAGGGGUCAAAGCUCCGCAAGGGGCGCUCGAAGAGGAGCCUGAGUCCUAUCAGCUAGUUGGUGAGGUAACGGCUCACCAAGGCUUUGACGGGUAGCCGGCCUGAAAGGGUGAUCGGCCACACUGGCACUGAGACACGGGCCAGACUCCUACGGGAGGCAGCAGUGGGGAAUUUUGGACAAUGGGGGCAACCCUGAUCCAGCGACGCCGCGUGGAGGACGAAGGUCUUCGGAUUGUAAACUCCUUUUGAUGGGGAUGAAUGGCCUGGUGAAUAGCCAGGAGUGACAGUACCCGUUGAAUAAGCCACGGCUAACUACGUGCCAGCAGCCGCGGUAAUACGUAGGUGGCAAGCGAUACUCGGAAUCACUAGGCGUAAAGCGCAGGUAGGCGGUUGGGUAAGUCUUUUGUGAAAGCUCCUGGCUUAACUGGAAGAGGUCAAGGGAAACUACCCGGCUAGAGUGUGGCAGAGGAAACUGGAAUUCCCGGUGUAGCGGUGAAAUGCGUAGAUAUCGGGAGGAAUACCUAUGGCGAAAGCAGGCUUCUGGGCCAUCACUGACGCUGAUCUGCGAAAGCUAGGGGAGCAAACAGGAUUAGAUACCCUGGUAGUCCUAGCCCUAAACGAUGUGCACUAGGUGUGGAAGGUAUCGACCCCUCCCGCGCCGAAGCUAACGCAUUAAGUGCACCGCCUGGGGAGUACGGCCGCAAGGUUGAAACUCAAAGGAAUUGACGGGGGCCCGCACAAGCGGUGGAGCAUGUGGUUUAAUUCGACGCAACGCGAAGAACCUUACCUGGGCUUGAACUACUCGUGGUAGCUUGAUGGAAACAUUGAGCGACCC